CCUACGGGGGGCUGCAGUGGGGAAUAUUGCACAAUGGGCGAAAGCCUGAUCCAGCCAUGCCGCGUGUGUGAAGAAGGCCUUCGGGUUGUAAAGCACUUUCAGUGGGGAAGAAAGCCUUGGGGCUAAUACCCUCGAGGAAGGACAUCACCCACAGAAGAAGCACCGGCUAACUCCGUGCCAGCAGCCGCGGUAAUACGGAGGGUGCGAGCGUUAAUCGGAAUUACUGGGCGUAAAGCGCGCGUAGGCGGUCUGAUAAGCCGGUUGUGAAAGCCCCGGGCUCAACCUGGGAACGGCAUCCGGAACUGUCAGGCUAGAGUGCAGGAGAGGAAGGUAGAAUUCCCGGUGUAGCGGUGAAAUGCGUAGAGAUCGGGAGGAAUACCAGUGGCGAAGGCGGCCUUCUGGACUGACACUGACGCUGAGGUGCGAAAGCGUGGGUAGCAAACAGGAUUAGAUACCCCUGUAGUC
This 465-nucleotide ribosomal RNA is filed under the name Vreelandella stevensii. RNAcentral describes it as "partial 16S ribosomal RNA". It matches the Rfam family "Bacterial small subunit ribosomal RNA", at positions 338 to 795 of the family's 1533-position model. Lineage: Bacteria; Pseudomonadati; Pseudomonadota; Gammaproteobacteria; Oceanospirillales; Halomonadaceae. The record is from RNAcentral.